CACUAAGGCAGAAGCGUGGGUAGCAAACGGGAUUAGAUACCCCGGUAGUCCACGCCGUAAACUAUGGAUGCUAGCUGUUAGAGGUAUCGACCCCUCUAGUAGCGAAGCUAACGCGUUAAGCAUCCCGCCUGUGGAGUACGGUCGCAAGACUAAAACAUAAAGGAAUUGACGGGGACCCGCACAAGUGGUGGAGCGUGUUGUUUAAUUCGAUGGUAAACGAAGAACCUUACCCAGGUUUGACAUCCUUGGAAUUUUGCCGAAAGGCGAGAGUGCUUUAUUGAGCCAAGUGACAGGUGAUGCAUGGCCGUCGUCAGCUCGUGUCGUGAGAUGUUUGGUUAAGUCCAUCAACGAGCGCAACCCUUAUAGUCUGUUGUAUUUCUCAGGCUAGACUGCCCUGGUAACAGGGAGGAAGGGGGGGAUGAUGUCAGGUCAGUAUUUCCCUUACAUCUGGGGCUACAAACACGCUACAAUGGCCGGUACAAAGGGCUGCCAAGUCGCGAGACGGAGCAAAUCCCAUCAAAGCCGGUCUCAGUUCGGAUAGCAGGCUGAAACUCGCCUGCUUGAAGUCGGAAUCGCUAGUAACGGUAGGUCAGCUAUACUACCGUGAAUACGUUCCCGGGUCUUGUACACACCGCCCGUCAAACCAUGAAAGUCGCCAAUACCUGACGUGUGAGCCUCGC
This 680-nucleotide ribosomal RNA is filed under the name uncultured bacterium. Its description in RNAcentral is "bacterial SSU rRNA". It matches the Rfam family "Bacterial small subunit ribosomal RNA", at positions 744 to 1438 of the family's 1533-position model. The record is from RNAcentral.